GCUGGGGGGCAUCCCCGGCUGAGAUCGAAGCAAACCGCAGCUUCGGGUCGCCUUGAACCUGAUCCGGGUAAUGCCGGCGUAGGAAGUUUG
RNAcentral lists this non-coding RNA (90 nucleotides) under uncultured Gemmiger sp. The record is from RNAcentral. Lineage: Bacteria; Bacillati; Bacillota; Clostridia; Eubacteriales; Oscillospiraceae.